GCUGUUUAGGGUUGGGAGGCGUCUGGUUCGAUUUCAACUGGCUGGUUGGAGAGCUACAGGGGUAAAGAUGGGAGAGCUGGGUUGGUUCUUUGAUGUCUACAUCUGGAGGCUUCGAUUGUUCUACACAGCCAUCUACUCAGACCAUCAGUUUGCGUUUUCAUUGCUCUGAUCUUCCAAGGUGCUCACUUUCCGACUCCCUUGGGUUCUAUCAGGAAGGGGAUUGAAUCUCACAGAUUAGUUCAGCAAAGGAAGAUUGAUGUAACAAUUAGCAGGGAGUUGCUAUAGGAUUCUAUGCAAUGAAGUGUUUCCACUACUUCAACAACAAAAUAAAUGAGGUGGGAACGAAGAUUGCUACAGAAUUGAAAGAACAGAGGACAUCUGAUUAUUCAGGAGCUGAAUAUGGUCAUUAAGUCUUCAUGCUCAACAAAAUCACCCCACUCUUUAAACCGGAAUUUGUAUGAAGAGAAGGUUUCAAAUAUGUUAAGAGAUAUGAGUACAUGCUGUUUUGUGUAGUAUCCUGGUAUUUGUAGGUAUUUUUAAUGGCGAUUUUAUAUGGUUAAUUUUACUUAAAAAUACAGGAAUGGAUCGACUGUGUAGCAAAUGGAGAUGCUAGCAUGUUGAAAAUAAAAAUAGAUGCGACAGAAAAAUAGAUGCA
Molecule: long non-coding RNA, 655 nt
Organism: Prunus persica (peach)
Lineage: Eukaryota; Viridiplantae; Streptophyta; Magnoliopsida; Rosales; Rosaceae
Exons: 2
Source: RefSeq, a predicted model, not a curated record